RNAcentral lists this ribosomal RNA (656 nucleotides) under Aspergillus niger. RNAcentral describes it as "eukaryotic LSU rRNA". The stretch from base 203 to 356 matches the Rfam family "5.8S ribosomal RNA". The record is from RNAcentral. Lineage: Eukaryota; Fungi; Ascomycota; Eurotiomycetes; Eurotiales; Aspergillaceae.
UGCGGAAGGAUCAUUACCGAGUGCGGGUCCUUUGGGCCCAACCUCCCAUCCGUGUCUAUUGUACCCUGUUGCUUCGGCGGGCCCGCCGCUUGUCGGCCGCCGGGGGGGCGCCUCUGCCCCCCGGGCCCGUGCCCGCCGGAGACCCCAACACGAACACUGUCUGAAAGCGUGCAGUCUGAGUUGAUUGAAUGCAAUCAGUUAAAACUUUCAACAAUGGAUCUCUUGGUUCCGGCAUCGAUGAAGAACGCAGCGAAAUGCGAUAACUAAUGUGAAUUGCAGAAUUCAGUGAAUCAUCGAGUCUUUGAACGCACAUUGCGCCCCCUGGUAUUCCGGGGGGCAUGCCUGUCCGAGCGUCAUUGCUGCCCUCAAGCCCGGCUUGUGUGUUGGGUCGCCGUCCCCCUCUCCGGGGGGACGGGCCCGAAAGGCAGCGGCGGCACCGCGUCCGAUCCUCGAGCGUAUGGGGCUUUGUCACAUGCUCUGUAGGAUUGGCCGGCGCCUGCCGACGUUUUCCAACCAUUCUUUCCAGGGUGACCUCGGAUCAGGUAGGGAUACCCGCUGAACUUAAGCAUAUCAAUAAGGCGGGAAGAAUCAUUACCGAGUGCGGGUCCUUUGGGCCCACCUCCAUCCUGUCUUUGGUACCUGUUGCUUCGGGGGCC